RNAcentral lists this long non-coding RNA (768 nucleotides) under Eucalyptus grandis. RNAcentral's name for it is "long non-coding RNA (EGRA_LNC004212)". The record is from RNAcentral. Lineage: Eukaryota; Viridiplantae; Streptophyta; Magnoliopsida; Myrtales; Myrtaceae.
UAUUCUAAUCUAACUACCUAAUUACACUUAAUUAAAUCUAAUCAACCUUUAAGUAUAAUUAGAAAACUAAGAAAGUAUUAGUGAACAAAACUCAUUUGAUUAAAUGCUGGGCUGAGUUCUGGCCUGACUUGCGGCCCAAACGGACUGAACUAGCGGGCCCCAAAAGGCCUUGGCUGGCGCUGGAAAAGAAGGUUGCUGGACUGCUCGGUGGAAUCGUGGGCUGAAGAAAAUGCUUUGCUGGGCCGUUGAUGGAGCUGCUGGGCUUCGAGAUUUCAAGUGGCCGAAGACACGCGGACGCCGUUGCUGCUGAAGACCACACGGGCUGAUUAAGCAUGGACGAAAGCAGCUGCUGGCGAAGACGUCCGUGGAGAAGCAGCUGGCGUCGUUGCCGAGAGCUGGGCUUCACUCGGUGGUCAACAAAGUGGGAAGAAAUACGCUGCUGUUGACCGUGAAGGAGCAAGCUGUGGACGCGUGGAGAGGCAGGCGUUGGCGGUUGCAGCUGCUGGGUUGCUCGGUCUUCGCUGCUGAAGGAAGGGUUGACCGAACAAGCAGCAUGAGGUGGACGGCCUGGCAGCUUGGCUUCGGCGGAGGGGAAGCAAAAGAUAGUGGGCGUACGAGGCUGAUGCUGGAGGAAAUUUGGUGGAUGAAGUAGCUCGGUGGGGUUGCAGAGGAAUGUAAAGAAAAUGAAAAAAUGAAAAAAUGAAAAGAAGAGUGGAGGCGUGAGGGAACGGAACGCUCGACGGAAAUGAACGCACGGUUGAGAAAGAC